CCUUAACUCGUGGCUGGUGAGUUCCAUUUACAUCCCCAUCUUUGCAGGGGCCCAAAUAGGGACCGCAAAGACCAGGAUUACCCAAAAACGAAGUGUAAUUGAAAUAACUAAACUGACCAGUACCAGGGACCAAACCAGAAAGAUUGUUGUAAGAAAAAUCAACAGAAGUUAAGCUCUGCAUAGUGGCUAUAGGAGCAGGAAUGCUACCAACAAGAUGAUUUCUUGAGAGAUUCAGGUAAUUCAAGAUCCUCAUACCUGUAAUCUCAGUAGGAAUCUCACCUGAAAGCUCGUUUCUACUGAGAUCAACAAACG
Molecule: long non-coding RNA, 312 nt
Filed under: Populus trichocarpa (black cottonwood)
Lineage: Eukaryota; Viridiplantae; Streptophyta; Magnoliopsida; Malpighiales; Salicaceae
Description: long non-coding RNA (PTRI_LNC001912)
Source: RNAcentral